AUUGAACGCUGGCGGAACGCUUUACACAUGCAAGUCGAACGGUAACGUGGGGAGGAGCUUGCUCCACCCCGACGACGAGUGGCGAACGGGUGAGUAAUACAUCGGAACGUGUCCGCUCGUGGGGGACAACCAGCCGAAAGGUUGGCUAAUACCGCAUGAGUUCUACGGAAGAAAGAGGGGGAUCCGCAAGGGCCUCUCGCGAGCGGAGCGGCCGAUGACUGAUUAGCCGGUUGGUGAGGUAACGGCUCACCAAAGCAACGAUCAGUAGCUGGUCUGAGAGGACGAUCAGCCACACUGGGACUGAGACACGGCCCAGACUCCUACGGGAGGCAGCAGUGGGGAAUUUUGGACAAUGGGCGCAAGCCUGAUCCAGCUAUUCCGCGUGUGGGAUGAAGGCCCUCGGGUUGUAAACCACUUUUGUAGAGAACGAAAAGACACCAUCGAAUAAAUGGUGUUGCUGACG
Molecule: ribosomal RNA, 463 nt
Filed under: uncultured bacterium
Lineage: Bacteria
Description: bacterial SSU rRNA
Rfam family: Bacterial small subunit ribosomal RNA
Source: RNAcentral